CCCUGACACAUAUACACCAGAGGACUGCCUGAUCUGGUCUCAGUGAGAGAAGUUAUACCUAACCCUCUACAGACUUGAGUCUUCAUGAACUGGGGAGGCCUGGCAGCGGGGAUUGGGAGAAAAUAGAUCAAAAUCAGCAUGUCUUUGAAAGUCCUAGAGAGAAGAACACAAACAAAAGCCAUGAAGCCUACCAUAUACAAAACUAGCUUCAGAAGUAUCAAUGAAUAUGGAAUUCAGCAAGGUCUUGUAAACACAAGCCAGGUUAAGGCACAUCCCAGAGCCGAAUGUCUUAGCUCCUUUUCAAUAUUUCAGCACUUUUCCCCCAGGUUCCUUCUCAACACAGCUGUUUCGUCCCUUUCAUUUCUUUCUGUAACCUUUAUCUUCGCCCUUGCUGCUGUUCCCCAUCUCAUCUCCCACAAAGGAGCCUUUAUUUCUGUGUGUAAGUUCAGUUGCCGUAUGCUUCCUGUCAUUCAGAAUGAUGCUGUGCAUUGAGAUGAAGAUCUCUCUGAGAAGCUACCUGCCCGGGAUGGCGGGGUGAGAAAAGAGAGGGGAGGAUACAAAUAAUAGACAAACAUUUUCCUGUAAGUAACCAUGUUGGUGGCACGUUCAUGAGAACACAAGUUGUUAAGAGUGGAGUUCAGAAACUGAAAACUGAAGGGAAGAAGGGAAGGGCAUUAAAUGAGCUGUGGUCUACUGAUGAGAGAAAGAAAGUCAGGAUACUUGAAAAAGCCAUGAUCCAAGUAUUAAAGGCUCAAGAAGAAUCCAGUGAUCAACCCUUCAAAUCCACUGAAGGCCUCUUUGCAUAUUUUAAAAUGGGAAUGGUUCAAUUUGUUUUUAAGAGCUGCUUCUAAUACUUUCUGCCAAUGGUCGAUUGGCAGACCCCAACCUGGCAACAUUUUUUUUUCAAGCGACUAUUUGUUAUGUCUAGACACACCAACACAGCUUUCUACUGUUUUGGUUUUUUCACUCGUGCAGAGCAGAGGAUGGUGGUCUGAAUAGAUGAGCCUUGCUCUGUGUGUGGAGGGAUGCUGAGAUGAGAAGAGGUAGCCGGAUUUUAACGUGUUAAGCACAGAGGUGGUCCCGUGACAAUACUAAAUUGCUCAACAGACAACUAGUUACCCAAGAGGGAACCACUAAUGGGUGGUUACAUCCUUUAUCUUGGUAUGAAUAAUGCAUGAUCGCUGCAGCGACUAGGGCAACAUCAACAACCAUAUCAGAUGAGCCCGUUGCUCAGACGGAGCCAGCUCUGAGAUCCCGCUACUCAUCCUGUUUUUCUGGCAUGAUGUGCUGUGAUACUACAGACUCAGAGCAGCAGUGACAAGAGACCACAGAAUGGAAUUUUGACAUCACCCAGAAGAAAUGGCUUUCAAUCGACAAUACAAACCAUUUGGAUGUGUCCAUGGUGGAGAAGAGCCACAGUGUAAUUAUUAGCCUCAGAGAGCAAACUACAUUGCAACCACUACAGGAGCCAGAGCCCAGUGCCAGCUUGCUAUUCAUCCCUCCUAGAGUCAGUUUCGGGGAGAGUGUUCCAGGACUCUAUCUAAGAAGACACAAACAAACGACUUACUCAUUUUCUGUGUUCAAAGAUUUGAGAAGAAUACUGGAAGCAUCCUAAGAACCGCCUUAUUCAGAUUUCUGUUACUCCCCUUAAGAUGACACUUGUACUGGGAGUAUAAGAGCAUGCGGAGACUGUUUUGUCACUGACCUUGUCACACCUCACAGCACUUGAUCAUAACAGCCCUCUGGAACCAGCAUGGGUGGUAGCUGAAUUCCUUUAAAACUCCAUACAUUAAAAUGUAAACCAGUCAUCUGUCAAUAUCAAUGUCAAAGAUUCAAAUUUGAAUUAGACACAUCCCAUAGAAAGAACUAAAGGUUAGUGGUUCAUUUGGUAGUUUCCAGUGACCAAAUGUAUGACAUUGGAAAAGUCCCUUACAUUCCAGAGUCUUGUUUCCCUUAAUUGUAGCAUAAGAAUCUGAGCAGUCCUAAAUUCCAUAACUAUUAAAUUGAGUCCUGUGCAUGCAGUUCAGUAUUGCCCAUGAUAACCUAAGUUUUCUUCCUGAAAGGUGUGACUAUGUAGAGAGAAACAGACAAAUGUUCAAGUAAUAUUGGUGCAGAACAAGCUAGAAGAAACCAGAAGUUAAGGACAGGAAAAGAGUACGUCAGCUGUGGAGGUCUGUUUAGCAUGCACAAGGCCCUGGAUUCAAUCUUUAGCAUUGCAAAACAACACACAAACAAAACCAUUUAGUUGAACAAGCAAAUGAAUACAGGAAAUGCAGUGCAAAGGAAGAUUUAACUAAACUGUCCCCAGUUCUCAAAUUUCAGUUUCACACUGACCUUAAUUCAGUCUCAGAGAGCUGGGGACAGGAGCCCUUGGUGAUAGGGAAAGGUGAACAAGAAGAAGAAGAAGAAGAAGAAGAAGAAGAAGAAGAAGAAGAAGAAGAAGAAGAAGAAGAAGAAGAAGAAGAAGAAGAAGAAGAAGAGAACCAGAUUUAGAAAAGGGAGAUUGAGACAGACAGGAGUGAAAGCUAUAUUUACUUCCAAACGUCCUGAUAGUUUCAUUAAGUUUUAUGCCACUGAGCUCUAAAUUGCUUGAUGUUUUUGUUCCCUAAAUACUACAUAUGUUCUGAAAGUCCAUUAAAAGUGACAGAGUUUGGAACAAUGGAGUUAAAGCUAAAAUUGAGGAUUGAUAACUUUCACCUACAAAAUGAAAGCUAGACAGAACCUGAUGAUACAGGAUUCUGUAGAGAACAGAGGCUCACAGAGGCAGUGGUCGGUAGCGGGGGUGGAUGAACUGCAGGGGUAACAGACUGUCUCUGGAGAAAACGAAUUUUUUAACUUAUUUUUUAUUUAUUUAUUUUUUUUAGCAUGACCCCAGUCAAGUCUGAGACUGAAGGCAAAUUUGGUAUUUCCCAUCUACUUUUUAUACCAUUUUAAUUACAUGCAAGUAUUUUGGGUGAGCAGUACAAUAAGGAACUAACAAAGCCUUAAGUGAAUUCCUGUGAUUACUCCCAUGACAGUUGUUUAAAAGGGCUUGUCAUAAUGACUAAAAUACAUGAGCCCACUUCCUUGUCCAAGCCCAAACUCUUGCCUGAAGCCUAGUUCUUCUGUUCCACCCAAAGACUAAAAUUCCUGCCUUACCCUACUUCCCUAUUAUAGCCUAAAGUUAGAUUCUUGCUGAAAUUUACUUCCUUAUUAUGCCCUAAUAUAAGAUUCAUGAAUUUUAACCAUGUGCAACAGGAAGUCCCCAAGGUUGGUCUGAUUUGUGUAUCAGUACUAAGCAAGGAAUGAGGGUUGAGAGUCAGUGAGGGCUCCCUCAGGGCAUCAAGUAGGUAUAACUGGAGAGUGGUGUGGACAAUUUUAACAGGAAGAGAAAAAAUGACUCUAUGAUGGUCAGCCCAACUUGGGACACUCAUAUCACUGUCCUCUCCACCAAGGAUCAAGAAACUUACCUGCAAAGGGCAGAAAAAGUCUAAGAGCCAGAGGUGGUUAAUUACAUCAAUGAAACAUGUUUCCAGGAACAGCUGGGCAAGUGAACUUCUGAAUUUACCUUGAUUGUAGCAGGAGGUACAAGACCUGACCAAAGUCCACCCAGACAAAAUCCCAGCAUAGAGCUGCAAAAGGUGGACAGGAAAUCCAAUGACCAUCUGAGGAGCUACUGAUAUUUGAUCACUGUUGGGAGAGGGAGAGCCAGUUUUCUUUAGUCACAAGAUUCUCGGGAGGUUCUCUAUAUCCAAGGGUA
Molecule: long non-coding RNA, 3739 nt
Organism: Mus musculus (house mouse)
Lineage: Eukaryota; Metazoa; Chordata; Mammalia; Rodentia; Muridae
Product: predicted gene 6209
Exons: 8
Source: RefSeq, a predicted model, not a curated record